UUGACCUCGGAUCAGGUAGGAAUACCCGCUGAACUUAAGCAUAUCAAUAAGCGGAGGAAAAGAAACCAACAGGGAUUGCCUCAGUAACGGCGAGUGAAGCGGCAACAGCUCAAAUUUGAAAUCUGGCCAUCACGGUCCGAGUUGUAAUUUGUAGAGGAUGUUUUGGGCACCGCCCCGGGUUAAAUUUCUUGGAACAGAAUGUCAAAGAGGGUGAGAGUCCCGUCUUGGCCCGCGGUAGGACCUAUGUAAAACUCCUUCGACGAGUCGACUUGUUUGGGAAUGCAGGUCAAAAUGGGUGGUAAAUUUCAUCUAAAGCUAAAUAUUGGCCAGAGACCGAUAGCGCACAAGUAGAGUGAUCGAAAGAUGAAAAGCACUUUGAAAAGAGAGUUAAACAGUAUGUGAAAUUGUUGAAAGGGAAGCGCUGGCAACCAGACUCGAGCGCGGUGUUCCCCCCGGCUUCUGCCUGGGUAUACUUCACCGUGACCGGGCCAUCAUCAGUUUUAGGGGUCGGUCAAAGGCCCGGGGAAUGUAUCCUCUCCUCCGGGGGAGGACUUAUAGCCCCGGGCGUCAUGCGGCCUCCCGAGACUGAGGAACGCGCUUCGGCGAGGAUGAUGGCGUAAUGGUUGUCAGCGACCCGUCUUGAAACACGGACCAAGGAGUCUAACAUCUAUGCGAGUGUUCGGGUGUCAAACCCCUGCGCGGAAUGAAAGUGAACGGAGGUAGGAAGGCCUAAGCCUGCACUAUCGACCGAUCCUGAUGUCUUCGGAUGGAUUUGAGUAAGAGCAUAGCUGUUGGGACCCGAAAGAUGGUGAACUAUGCGUGAAUAGGGUGAAGCCAGAGGAAACUCUGGUGGAGGCUCGCAGCGGUUCUGACGUGCAAAUCGAUCGUCAAAUUUGCGUAUAGGGGCGAAAGACUAAUCGAAC
This 923-nucleotide ribosomal RNA is filed under the name Chaetothyriales sp. CN-Cre-Bo1-2. RNAcentral describes it as "eukaryotic LSU rRNA". It matches the Rfam family "Eukaryotic large subunit ribosomal RNA", at positions 1 to 940 of the family's 3401-position model. Lineage: Eukaryota; Fungi; Ascomycota; Eurotiomycetes; Chaetothyriales. The record is from RNAcentral.